GAUGAACGCUGGCGGCGUGCCUAAUACAUGCAAGUCGAGCGAACGGACGAGAAGCUUGCUUCUCUGAUGUUAGCGGCGGACGGGUGAGUAACACGUGGAUAACCUACCUAUAAGACUGGGAUAACUUCGGGAAACCGUAGCUAAUACCGGAUAAUAUUUUGAACCGCAUUGUUCAAAAGUGAAAGACGGUCUUGCUGUCACUUCUAGAUGGAUCCGGGCUGCAUUAGCUAGUUGGUAAGGUAACGGCUUACCAAGGCAACGAUGCAUAGCCGACCUGAGAGGGGGAUCGGCGACACGGGAACGGAGACACGGUCCAGACUACUACGGGAGGCAGCAGUAGGGAAUCUUCCGCAAUGGGCGAAAGCCUGACGGAGCAACGCCGCGUGAGUGAUGAAGGUCUUCGGAUCGUAAAACUCUGUUAUUAGGGAAGAACAUAUGUGUAAGUAACUGUGCACAUCUUGACGGUACCUAAUCAGAAAGCAACGGCUAACUACGUG
Molecule: ribosomal RNA, 497 nt
Filed under: uncultured bacterium
Lineage: Bacteria
Description: partial 16S ribosomal RNA
Rfam family: Bacterial small subunit ribosomal RNA
Source: RNAcentral